This is a long non-coding RNA of Apus apus (common swift), 4415 nucleotides long. RefSeq lists it as uncharacterized. The record is from RefSeq and is a predicted model, not a curated record. NCBI's taxonomy places the organism in Eukaryota, Metazoa, Chordata, Aves, Apodiformes, Apodidae. The transcript has 7 exons.
CCAGGAGCUGCAGAGCAUUCCCUACCUCACACUUUUAUCUGGAGGCAUCUGGAAACUCUGAACUAAUACACACGGCAUCCAAAGCAGUUUAUAUAUGCCGCAUGUCCCAGGAGCGGGGCAGAUGUGCACUCAUUCCGCUGGCAAGGAUUAAAUUAAAAACCUCUUUGCUCAUUUCGAGCCUCUCCAGGCAGAGCACACUGCCACCUCCCAACGACUCCGGGAGGAUUUUGGGCAGCCAGGAGCCAUCUGCAUGGCGAGGUGCUGCCAGGCAGAGCUACCUUUCCAUCCCAAAUUGACCGGCACCCACUCCUAAACCCAUGCAAAGCAGAAGCCUCACCAGCAGUCACACUGGUGCAGCAGCAGUGCUGGUGAUGCCCUGUCUACUCGUCCUCUCAGUGCCCAUCCCAGGUGCAAAUCAAGGAGCGAAGCGGAAUAUCUGCUCUGGAGGUGACUUGAGCAAGAGGCAGCACACAGGGGGCUUGACAUGGCAACCUGUAAUCAUCAGAGGCCGGCCAGGCAAGCCGCAAAGGUGAGGCAAAUAGCCUUGGAGUAGUGAAGCAGCAUGCCGACGGGCCAUCUGUGAAGAUGAGCUGGGUGUCAGCCAGGCUGGUGUCUAAGAGAAAGUUACCUGAGGGAACUCAGUGAAGCAUUUAUCUUUUGGGUUCCACAAACAAGGACGGUCUCAGCAUCUGAUUCUGGAAUGAGCAGAUUAUAAGGAACCUGGCAACUGCCAGAACGUCCCAGUGAGCUGAUGUGAUGGCUGUGUUGAGGAUGGCUGCAGACCCCUGGCCAUCUGAAAGCUAAGUUGAAGGGCUGGGAGGAGGGGACAAGGUUGGGGAUCGCAAGGAGGGGUUUUAAAGUUGGUGUAGGUGAGAGGGUUGACAGGGCACAGUCCCCUUGGGGCAGGUUAAGGGAGCAGGUUACUCUUCAGCACAAUGUCAGCGUGUACAGGGCAGGGCAGCUCUAACCUGUGUCUGGUGUGUACUUCGUGUCGUCUGUUUUCUGUCUUAGGCUGUAUGUUCUUUGGGUCUUGAUGCCUCAGUAGCUCUUGGUGAUCAGCAGGCACCUUGGUAGCGCUCCAAGGAGUCCAGAAUGUGUCACUUCAACAGAGCCUGUUGAGCCCUUCUCAUCUCGCAGUUACAGCUUAACACGUGGAUCUCUUUGGUUCCACACUUCAGAGACAAAAAGCCUCAUCAAACUCUGCUGCAAAAACUCCAUAGAGCAAAGGAAAACUUUCUAUGUAUCUCCUACCAUGCCUUUCCAAACAGAAUCCCAGAGUGCUGGGGUUGGAAGGGACCUCUAGAGAUCACACAGUCCAAGCCCCUGCUAGAGCAGGAUCCCCUACAGUAGGUUCCACAGGAACACGUCCAGCUGGCUUUGGAAUGUCUCCAAAGAAGGAGACUCCACAACCUCUCUGGGCAGCCUGUCCCAGGUCUCUGUCACCCUUACAGGAAAGAAGUUCCUCAUGUUCAGUUUGACUCUCCUGGGCUCCAGCUUGUGCCCAUUGCCCCUUGUGCUCUCACUGGACAGCACUGAGAAGAGUCUGGUCCCCCCCUCCUCCCACCCCCUCUAGAUAUUGACCAGCACUCAUGAGAUCCCCACUCAGUCUCCUCCUCUCCACAUGAACAGCCCCAGCUCUCCCAGCCUUUCCUCACCAGCAGAUGCUCCAGUCCCUUCAGCAUCUCUGUGGACCAGGGCUGGGCUCUCUCCAGUAGCUCCUUGUCCCUCCUGCACUGGGAGCCCAGAACCAUACACGGUUCUCCAGAUGGGGCCUCACCAGGGCAGAGGGGCAGAACAACCUCCCUGACCUGCUGGCCACACUCUUCUUCAUGCCCUCAGGAUGGCACUGGUCUGGUGGCCAGAAAGGCAGCCUUUUCACCUUUUUAGCAGGCAAAUCUAAGUUUAGCAGGUGAGGUGCUGCUCAGCUGUAAACAAUAAUUUCAUUAAAAGGUCCAGAACUAACCCAGCUGAGUUUGGACUUACUGGCCUUUCCCAAUUAGCCAAUUGCUUUGCUGCUCCCAGUUUAUCAGCUUAAGGGUCUACGCUUAAGGGUCUAGAUUCUGGACUUAAGCACCCAGGGUCACGGAUUUAAAGAGUCUAAUGUCUAGGAAUAUGGGCCAAGCAUUUAGAGACUAGGUUUAACUUUCUAGAGUAAAAUGUCAAGAGCAAACAGUCUAGGGUUAAGGCUCUAGGUCUACGGUUUAGUAUAUAGGAUCAAGGGUCCAGUGCCCAGGGUUUAUGAUGUAGGCUUAAGGGUCUAGGGUUAAGGCUUUUGAGUCUGGGGAUACGUGCCCAGGGUUAAGGGUCUAGCAUCUAGGCUUUAGUAUCUAGGAUUAAGGGUCCAGUGUCCAGUGUACAAUGUCUAGAGUCUAGUAUCUAGGUUUUAGGCUGUAGGUUUAAGGGUCUAGAAUUAAGGGUCUAGGGUCUGGAGUUCAGUGCCCAGGGUCAAGGGUCUAGCAUCUAGGGUUUAAUAUCUUGGAUUAAUGGUCCAGUGUCCAGUGUCUAGAGUUUAUGAUGUAGGCUUAAGGGUCUAGAGUUAAGGGUUUCGAGUCUGGAGUUAAGUGACCAGGGUCAACGGUCCAGUGUCAUCUCGGAUUUAGUGUCUACGGUUUACACUGUAGGCUUAAGUGUCUAGAGUCUAGUAUCUAGGUUUUAGGCUGUAGGCUUAAGGGUCUAGAGAUAAGAGUCAAGGGUCUGGAGUUCAGUGCCUAGGGUCAAGGCUCUAGUGUCUAGGGUCCAGUAUCUAGGGUUUAGGCUGUAGGCUUAAGGGUCUGGAGUCAAGGGUCGAGGGUUUGGAGUUAAGUACCCAGGGUCAAGGGUCCAGCAUCUAGGGUUUAGUAUCUUGGAUUAAUGGUCUAGUGUCUAGUGUCCUGUAUCUAGAGUCUAGUGUCUAGGUUUUAGGCUGUAGGCUUAAAGGUCUAGAGUUAUGGGUCUAGGGUCUGGAGUUAAGUGCCCAGGGUCAAGGGUCAAGCAUCUAGGUUUUAAUAUCUAGGAUUAAGGGUCCAGUAUCUAAGGUUUAGGCUGUAGGCUUAAGGGUCUAGGGUCAGGUGUUAAGUGCCCAGGGUCAAGGGUCCAGCAUCUAGGGUUUAGUAUCUAGGAUUAAUGGUCCAGUGUCUAGCGUUUAUGAUGUUGGCUUAAGAGUCUAGGGUUAAGGGUUUCGAGUCUAGAAAUAAGGGACCAGGUUUAACAGUCCAGUGUCAAUGGUCCAGUUUCUAGGGUGUAGUGUCUAGGGUUUAGACCGUAGGCUUAAGGGUCUAGAGUUAGGUGUCUGGGGUCUGGAGUUUAGUGCCCAGGGUCAAGGGUUUAGCAUUUAGGGUUUAGUAUCUAGGAUUAAAGGUCUAGGGUCCAGUGUCUAGUGUCUUGGUUUUAGGCUGUAGGCAUAAGGGUCUAGAGAUAAGAGUCAGGGGUCUAGAGUUCAGUGCCCAGGGUCAAGGCUCUAGUGUCUAAGGUCCAGUGUCUAGGGUUUAGGCUGUAGGCUUACGGGUCUGGAGUCAAGGGUCGAGGGUCUGGAGUUCCGUGCCCAGGGUCAAGGGUCUAGCAUCUAGGGUUUAGUAUCCAGGAUUAAUGGUCCAGUGUCCAGUAUCUAGUGUUUGUGAUGUAGGCUUAAGGGUCUAAGGCCUGGAGUUCAGUGCCCAUUGUCAAGGGUCUAGUGUCUAGGUUUUAGUAUCUAGGAUUAAGGGUCCAGUGUCCAGGGUUUAGGCUGUAGGCUUAAGGGUCUAGGGUUAAGGGUUUCGAGUCUGGAAUUAAGUGACCAGGGUCAACGGUCCAGUGUCAAUGGUCCAGUUUCUAGGGUGUAGUGUCUAGGGUUUAGGCCGUAGGCUUAAGGGUCUAGAGUUACGCGUCUAGGGUCUGGAGUUAAGUGCCCAGAGUCAAGGGUCCAGCGUCUAGGGUUUAGUAUUUACGAUUAAUGGUGCAGUGUCCAGUGUCUACGGUUUAUUAUGUAGGCUCAAGGGCCUAGGGUUAAGGGUUUCAAGUCUGGAGUAAAGUGACCAGGGUCAACAGUCCAGUGUCUAGGGUGUACUGUCUAGGGUUUAGAUCAUAGGCUUAAGGGUCUAUCUAGAGUUAGGCGGCGGGGUCUGGAGUUCUGUGCCCAGAGUCAAAGGGUCUAGCGUCUACGGUUUAGUAUCUAGGAUUAUGGGUCUAGGGUCCAGUGUCUAGUGUCCAAUGUCUAGAGUCUAGUGCUUAGGUUUUAGGCUGUAGGCUUAAGGGUUUAGAGUCAAGGGUCGAGGGUCUGGAGUGAAGUGCCCAGGGUCAAGGGUCCAGUGUGGGUAGUUAGGGUCUGGCGGCCGGAAGAUCUCGUGCUGUACAGAAAGAUAAGGCCCCUCUCCUGAUAGCCAAUAGCGUAUGUAAGCAGAUGGAAGUGACGUCAGAAACCUAGCUUAUAUAACGCCGCGAUACACACUAAUAAACGCCAU